Molecule: long non-coding RNA, 4015 nt
Organism: Stegostoma tigrinum
Lineage: Eukaryota; Metazoa; Chordata; Chondrichthyes; Orectolobiformes; Stegostomatidae
Exons: 3
Source: RefSeq, a predicted model, not a curated record
GCUUGCUUUAGGAAUGGGUAACAUGAUGUGAAGAAUUUGCAUUCUGUCCGGAAUUGAGGAAUUUAAUUUGUGCUUUUACUUCUUUCAUCCACCAUUUUCUCAGAGCCCCCACUUUUUAAAUUUUCACUUAUGGGAAGUAGCCAGCACUGGCUGGGCCAACAUUUAUUGCCUAUUCCUAGUUGAUGUUGAGGAGGUGGUGACGAGCUGCCUUCUUGAACCACAACAGUCUGUUUGGUGCAGGGACACCUGCAGUGCUGCUCGCAGGGAGCUACAAAGGUAAAAACAUAUGAAACAGGAGCAGGAAAAGGCCGUUCAGCCCCAGGAAUGAGGAAGUAGAGUAUCCUGUUUAAACAUGCAGAUCAGAGUGAACAGUGUCGGCAAACAAUGGUUUCAACACCCCCAAGUCAGCUUUACUGAGAGGUUGCCCCAAUCCAGAAGAGAACUCCCGUCAAAGUCUCAUUCCAAAGUAACAUGUAACAUUGGAACCACACGUGUGUGAAACAUCAGAAGCCUAAGACCUGUACUCCAGAAUGACCAUUCCUUCAGCAAAACAUAGUCACUGCAAGUCCAUACAGGCACCAGGACUCAGUCCAUGCCCAGCAUACACUGAGAUGCGAAGAGACCUUCUCAUAGAAGUUCACAGAAUGACCAGGCAAGUUGUUAUUUCAGAUCUCCAGUACUCGCUGAAUUUCACUUUUAUCUGAUUGCAGCAGAAUAUUGUCCUUCAAGAGUGAUGUGGAAUCCCAGCUGACCGACAGAGCAGACGGGGUGUCAGAUUCACACCUCGUCCAAAAGACAGCAGUUCCAGCAGAACAAGUUAUAAAUGUAUCACCUCGGACUGAAUUCCUGACUGACUCUGGCUGGAAACAACCCGAUUGCCAUGUGACUGAGCGAAAGACGUCCAAACACAGCUAACAAACCGUCCAACUGCUUUGUUCAAUAUAGUGAAAAGUUAGAUUUGAAGUUGAUGUCAGAAGUGUAUCACUCCUGUGAUACACAAAGGCAGUCUCACACAGGAGCAGGGGUGAGGAACCCAGUGCAGUGCAAUGGGAAAUGAAUGGGUUAACAACAAUGGAUAUGAUAAUGCAAUUUGCUGUCAAUAUGCAUGUGCUAUUAGGACAUGAAGGAGAAUGGAAAAACUGCAGAUAGAAAGCAGUAAUUGAUAUUCUGUAUGCUAAAGUGUCAAUAAUGAGUUUGCAGCACUUACUGAAGGUGAGGGAGUGUCACUUUUAGGUUUGAGAAAGCUGGGGCUACUCUCUCAUUAGAAAAGCAACUGUCUGUGGUUUAACGUGAGGGUCGCCACACUCCAAGUGAGGGAAGCAGUUGAAAAGGACAGUCCUUCACUAUAACCUCAGCCUUUGAAUAGAAUCCACAUAGUUAGCAUUACAAAACCAGCAAUUCAGCCUACACCGAAGUGAUACAGCAGACUCAAAGCAAGAACUGAUGUUUUGGGCCUAGACCCUUUUUCUGAAGAAGAUUCUAGGCCCGAAACAUCAGCCUUCCUGCUCCUCUGAUGCUGCUUUGCCUGCUGUGUUCAUCCAGCUCUACACCUUGUUAUCUCAGAUUCUCCAGCAUCUGCAGUUUUUACUAUCUCCUAAGCAAGAACUGAUCCCUUCACAGAGACUUUAUCAAACAACAUUUUGGACCUGGAGGCUAUUCAAAGAAGUGACUAAAUCCACAGUCAAGCAGGUCACUGUUUGGAGAAUCUAAAAGCGGGAAAGAGAAGCAAAGAGGUUUUGGGAGGAUAUCCGGAGCUUAGCAGCUCAGCCACCAGUGCUGGAGUGAUUAAAACAAAGGAUGAGAUGCUCAAACUUUUGAACGUAGAAAAUUAUUACAGGAGUUGGCAGGAUGCAUGCAAGAUGAGUGCUUUUUCUAACUAAAUUAGGUAGGAGGAGACUCAGCAGCCAGGGCAUAAAGGGUAGACCAUUUAGGACUUAAAUUGAGAAGAAUGUCUUCAGUCAAUGGUUGGUGAAUCUUUUGAAAUCUUUACCCCAGGAGGCUUUGGAAGUUUGAUUGUUGAGCAUAUUCAUGACAGAGAUGAGCAGAUUUAUAGAUCUUAAAGACAUGUGAAGAGUUAGGAAAGUGAUGUCGAGGUGGAUGAUCAGCCAUGCUCUAGUCUGAUGACACAGCAAGCUCAGGGCUGAAUGGCCACCUCCUGCUUUUAUUUCCCCAUACGCUGCAUUAUGCUUCAGAGGCGAGAAUUUCAAAAGCACAAAGAUUGCAGUGGGUUGUCGGGAAGUGUAAUUACAGAGAUGGAGAGGCAAAUGUCAUUCCCUCGAGAAGGCAGUUAUGAACCACAAUUCUGUAGCGAAUGGAACACAGGGAACGGCUGCUGUUGGAUUUCUAUCUGCGGAAUGGGAGAAUGGGAACCUGCAUAUUGAGGUGGGAUUCAGUAAGGGUGAGAGUAAUAGUGAGUGAUAUCUCAUGUUGGUAGGUCUCUUGCUGCUCUUUGUUGAGAAUCUCAUCUCAACAUCUGGAACUUAGUUCUGAAAUACACCUUUUCACUCUCAGCAUUGAGAGGUCCCUACUCAACAUUUCAUCCAAUUCUCCCACAUUUCUCGCCAUUGCUUGUAUCAUUCAGGGGCUGCAUAGAUUCCACUCAAAGUGCUCUUCAAUGCCCUGAGAGUGCAAAAAGGCACCAAAUUAAGAGGGUGGAACAGGCAGCACAGUGGCAUAGUGGUUAGUACUAAUGCCUCAGAGCACCAUGGGACCCAGGUUCAAUUCUCGCCUCAGGCUGUCAGUGUAGUGUUUGCAUGUUCUCCCUCUGUGUGGGUGUACUCCAGUUUCUUCCCACAGUCCAAAAGAAAUGCAGGCUAUGUGGAUUAGUCAUGGUAAGCAUGGAGUCAUGAAAGUGGGAUGCUGUUCAGUGGGCCAAAUAGUCCUUUUCCACACAAUAGGGAUUCUGCAUAAGCUCUUUCUUUCUGAAUUAGAUGGUUAAGUAGGGAACUGUGUAACAACAUGUGAAUAAGUAAUUUAUCUUUAAAGGACUAAAAUGAAGUGAUAAUGAUGCCUUGGUAAUAUUACUGCACUCAUAAUUAUAUGGACAUGAUGGCUUUGUGAUAUUAUCAGUAAGGCUAUUAAUUCAGAGACGCAGGCAAUGUUCUAGGGCUUCCAGUUCAAAUCCCACCACCACAGAUGGUGGAAUUUGGAUUCAAUAGAAAAACAGGAAUUAAGAGUUUAUGAUUGGCCUUGAAACUGUUGACAGGAAAACCCCAUCUAGUUCACAAAUGGGAAGGAAACUUCUAGAUUACAAAUGCUGGCCCAGCCAAUGAUGCCCACAUUCUGUGAAUAAAUUGUUUUUUUUAAAUCAGGAACUCUGGGGUACGGUUCAAAUCUCAAUGAAACAAUUAGUGGGAUUUGAAUUAAGUAAAAAUCUGACAUUAAGAGCUGAUCUAAUAGUGUCCAUUGUCAUUAAAAACCCACAUGGUUCAUUUUCCCUUUCGGGUUUUUCUAGUCUGACCUACAUAUGACUCCAAACCUACAACAAUGUGCUUGACUGUAACUGUCCCCUGGAUAAGUAUGGGUCGGCAAUAAAUACUGGCCCAGCUAGUGAUACCUGCAUCCCAUGUAGCAAUAUAAGAAAAACAGAAGCUGUCCCAUCCCUCUAGCCCACUGACAUCAGUGAGGGCCCAGCUUCAGUCAAUGCUCUGACAUUAAUCAAUUUUUCUGAGGCAGAGAGCAACUAGCAAUGCAAAGAAUUUUGCAUUUAUGCAGUAUGUAUCCCAACUUCAACACAACCACAUCCCAGUCAAUGAUGUCCUGCCUAAGGUGUGGCCACUGCUUUGAAGAGAGGAGACAGCAUGUGCACAGCAGGAUCUCGCAAGUAGCACUGCUUUUGGUGAUGCUCAAGGACGAAGUCACAGCCCCAGCAUUGGGGAGAAUUCCCUUGGGUCUUCUUCGAAUCAGGGCUUUGGGAUCUUAUCAGGCUCUCAGUUUUCUGUUUCUUAUUCCAUCUUGGUAUCAUUUGCUGUCUUCAGGAAGGAUGUACCAGAUGAAGAAGCUCGAUUUCAUAACG